RNAcentral lists this unclassified non-coding RNA (977 nucleotides) under Hevea brasiliensis (rubber tree). The record is from RNAcentral. Lineage: Eukaryota; Viridiplantae; Streptophyta; Magnoliopsida; Malpighiales; Euphorbiaceae.
UGCGUGUAAAACCCAGAUUAGCAAUGGCGGACAAGCCAAGCAGAGCUCUGGUGUUGUACGGCGAUGGAUUGGCUCAAUUCGUUGAUCCAUCCCACACCCAUAUCCACUCCCUCGCAUCUAAAGCUGCCUGCGGCUUCUUAAGCCUUCCCAAUGCCCCUCCCUCAGAAAGCGAGGAUGAGAGGAUAGUAAGGGAGUUUGCAAAUCUGCUGGAUGCAUGUGAAGCUUAUCAAGACAUGAGUUUUGAGAAGAGUACAUUGAUGCCAACCAUUUCUCAGAGGUUCAUGGGAAUGAAGGCUGCUGUUAUCACAAAUAGUCCUUACCUGAAAUCUUUUGGCAGCAAGAUCGGCUUCAAUGUGUUGCAAUUCAGUGAUUUAAAUGGAAAUGAUUGUUCACUUUUUGGAACAUCAGUUGAUCUUGUGACCUCUGAGUUACUAAAGUUGCUUGGAUUUCAAGAGGGGCAGACAAUAGAAACAAGCCAAUUUGAUUUUGUACUUGUGCACAUAGGGGCUGGUGAAAGAGUGAAUAGUGAGAGAGGCAGCGAUGUUAUAAGUGACACAGAAUAUAUAAAUGCUCUGGUUGGUGGUGUAAUGAACACAGCACAACCUGGUUCAGAAAUUGGUUCCCGCCUGCACUUGUCUCUUGUGAUGAGCUACGGAAAUUACGGAGAGAUGGGUACCAAUUUAUCAAUUCUGGCUUCUAAAGAUGAAAUGAACUCUGACCUUUCCAUGCUUCUCCCUCGUCAAAGUUACACAAUGAAAGGAGAAAAACCACGGACUGAUGUUAGGCACCACUGUCCAAUGUUAAUUGCUCAGUGGCAGUAUGCUGUGACCCGCAUGGAUUUGGCAGAGACGUUUUCUUUUAAAGAUUUUAAAAAGCAUGGUGGAAAUGGCGUAAUACCAGCUGACAGAUUUAUGCACGAGGUUGCAUUUAAGCUUUGGAAGGCCCCAAAAUAUGGAGCAUAAGCAAGGUUUCCUUGA